Molecule: non-coding RNA, 129 nt
Organism: Armillaria novae-zelandiae
Lineage: Eukaryota; Fungi; Basidiomycota; Agaricomycetes; Agaricales; Physalacriaceae
Source: the annotation of a GenBank genome assembly
GGCAAGAUGGCCGAGCGGUUAAGGCGUGUGACUCAAGUUGGCGGGAUUAUGCAAUCUCAGACUGGCUUCCCUGAAAUCGGGGUUUCUCAUCACGGUAUCGUGGCGUGGGUUCAAGUCCCACUCUUGUCA